GGACCCGCACAAGCGGUGGAUUAUGUGGAUUAAUUCGAUGCAACGCGAAAAACCUUACCUACCCUUGACAUGUCCGAAAGCCUGGUGAGAGCCGGGUGUGCCCGAAAGGGAAUCGGAACACAGGUGCUGCAUGGCUGUCGUCAGCUCGUGUCGUGAGAUGUUGGGUUAAGUCCCGCAACGAGCGCAACCCUUGUCAUUAGUUGCUACAUUCAGUUGGGCACUCUAAUGAGACUGCCGGUGACAAACCGGAGGAAGGUGGGGAUGACGUCAAGUCCUCAUGGCCCUUAUGGGUAGGGCUUCACACGUAAUACAAUGGCGCGUACAGAGGGCUGCUAAGCCGCGAGGUAGAGCCAAUCCCUUAAAGCGCGUCGUAGUCCGGAUUGCAGUCUGCAACUCGACUGCAUGAAGUCGGAAUCGCUAGUAAUCGCGGAUCAGCAUGUCGCGGUGAAUACGUUCCCGGGUCUU
This 465-nucleotide ribosomal RNA is filed under the name uncultured bacterium. Its description in RNAcentral is "bacterial SSU rRNA". It matches the Rfam family "Bacterial small subunit ribosomal RNA", at positions 917 to 1382 of the family's 1533-position model. The record is from RNAcentral.